GACGCGCGAGCCGGAAGAGGAUGGCGGCGGGCUGCGGCGCGCGGAGGUGGCGGCUGCUGCCGCUGCUGCUGCUGGCCGGGGCGGCGCUGGCUCCGGGGCCGGCCGACGGGGUUGCGUCGGAGCCGGGCCGCUGGAGCCGGACGGCCGGCGGGAACCAAAAGAAACUCUUUGUCUUCUCCAAGACAAUGUUUAAAGGGACUUGGAUUAUUCUCAAAUUUCCCCAUGAAGUCUGCAAAAAUAGGGAAGAGCUGAAUGUGACCUGGUAUCUCCGCAGUUCCCGCUGCCACCAUGAAGCCUACAUAAAUGAAAACGAAGCAUUGACCUACCUGAGCUACCCUGACGUGGAGGCCAGUGCCCUUGGAGACGGCCAGUAUAUCUGGAACGUCACCUUGGUGCAGUGUGGACAGUUGCACAAGGUGCGGAUCCUGCCAUCAAGGGGUGGCCAGAAAAGUGACUGGAAAACCAGAGUAGCCUCGUUGUGGGAGGAGGGGACCCCCGGUUGGCGAACAAGUAGGGGAACUCCUGAUAGAAGAGGCUGUUUGUAGCUCGGGUUGAACUGCGGUGAUCCUUGGGGGUCUCUUGAGUUUGCAGACAUUUCAUGACCCAGCUGGGUAACG
RNAcentral lists this long non-coding RNA (617 nucleotides) under Naja naja (Indian cobra). RNAcentral describes it as "lncRNA (ENSNNAG00000016803.1)". The record is from RNAcentral. Lineage: Eukaryota; Metazoa; Chordata; Lepidosauria; Squamata; Elapidae.